RNAcentral lists this ribosomal RNA (468 nucleotides) under uncultured bacterium. RNAcentral describes it as "partial 16S ribosomal RNA". It matches the Rfam family "Bacterial small subunit ribosomal RNA", at positions 28 to 507 of the family's 1533-position model. The record is from RNAcentral.
GACGAGCGCUGGCGGCGUGCUUAACACAUGCAAGUCGAACGGAAAGGCCCUGCUUUUGUGGGGUGCUCGAGUGGCGAACGGGUGAGUAACACGUGAGUAACCUGCCCUUGACUUUGGGAUAACUUCAGGAAACUGGGGCUAAUACCGGAUAGGAGCUCCUGCUGCAUGAUGGGGGUUGGAAAGUUUCGGCGGUUGGGGAUGGACUCGCGGCUUAUCAGCUUGUUGGUGGGGUAGUGGCUUACCAAGGCUUUGACGGGUAGCCGGCCUGAGAGGGUGACCGGCCACAUUGGGACUGAGAUACGGCCCAGACUCCUACGGGAGGCAGCAGUGGGGAAUAUUGCACAAUGGGCGGAAGCCUGAUGCAGCAACGCCGCGUGCGGGAUGACGGCCUUCGGGUUGUAAACCGCUUUCGCCUGUGACGAAGCGUGAGUGACGGUAAUGGGUAAAGAAGCACCGGCUAACUACGUG